GUGAAUCAUCAAAUUUUUGAACGCAAAUUGCACUCUCUGGGAUUCCGGAGAGUAUUCCUGUUUGAGUGUCAGUUUAAAUAAAAAUCGGUGGUGUUGCUGCCUUUCGUGGUGACGCUCCGGAUUUGGUGCGUCUUGCUUUCUUAUAAGUGAGACAAAAUUUUGCAUGAUUUUUUUCGAACUUAUUGAAAUGUUUUUAUGUACGUUUGCGAUAUCGAGUACUAGGUUUUGUAAUCUUCAUGAUUCGUUCCUAU
Molecule: unclassified non-coding RNA, 251 nt
Filed under: Glomus sp.
Lineage: Eukaryota; Fungi; Glomeromycota; Glomeromycetes; Glomerales; Glomeraceae
Description: partial contains 5.8S ribosomal RNA and internal transcribed spacer 2
Rfam family: 5.8S ribosomal RNA (bases 1-71)
Source: RNAcentral